RNAcentral lists this small RNA (73 nucleotides) under Xanthomonas campestris. RNAcentral's name for it is "sRNA sX9". It matches the Rfam family "Xanthomonas sRNA sX9". The record is from RNAcentral. Lineage: Bacteria; Pseudomonadati; Pseudomonadota; Gammaproteobacteria; Lysobacterales; Lysobacteraceae.
AUGUGCCCCCGUACUCCGGUUCCUCCGCGCCGUCCGCACCCACCUUACGGCUGCUCGCUACGUUUUUUAAGCC